UACAGAGGUCCCAAGCGUUGUUCGGAUUCACUGGGCGUAAAGGGUGCGUAGGCGGUCGGGUAAGUCGGGUGUGAAAUCUCGGAGCUUAACUCCGAAACUGCAUUCGAUACUGCCGUGCUUGAGGACUGGAGAGGAGACUGGAAUUUACGGUGUAGCGGUGAAAUGCGUAGAUAUCGUAAGGAAGACCAGUGGCGAAGGCGGGUCUCUGGACAGUUCCUGACGCUGAGGCACGAAGGCCAGGGGAGCAAACGGG
RNAcentral lists this ribosomal RNA (253 nucleotides) under uncultured bacterium. RNAcentral describes it as "partial 16S ribosomal RNA". It matches the Rfam family "Bacterial small subunit ribosomal RNA", at positions 524 to 776 of the family's 1533-position model. The record is from RNAcentral.